Molecule: ribosomal RNA, 498 nt
Filed under: uncultured bacterium
Lineage: Bacteria
Description: partial 16S ribosomal RNA
Rfam family: Bacterial small subunit ribosomal RNA
Source: RNAcentral
GAUGAACGCUGGCGGCGUGCCUAAUACAUGCAAGUCGAGCGAACGGACGAGAAGCUUGCUUCUCUGAUGUUAGCGGCGGACGGGUGAGUAACACGUGGAUAACCUACCUAUAAGACUGGGAUAACUUCGGGAAACCGUAGCUAAUACCGGAUAAUAUUUUGAACCGCAUGGUUCAAAAGUGAAAGACGGUCUUGCUGUCACUUAUAGAUGGAUCCGCGCUGCAUUAGCUAGUUGGUAAGGUAACGGCGUACCAAGGCAACGAUGCAUAGCCGACCUGAGAGGGGGAGAAGCCACACCGGGGAAGAGAAACGGGCGCCAGGCCCCCAGGGGGGAGCAGUGGGGGAAAUUGUCCGAAGGGGGAGAGAGCCUGGCGGAAAAGCGGCGCGAGGGUGGAAGAGCUCUGGGGAGCGAAAAACUCGUUUUUGGAGAAAAAACAUAUGUGGAAAAAAGUUGCCGCAGCUGAAGGGUACCUAAAAGGAAAGCCCGGGCAAACCACGG